UAACACUUGAACAGAGUAUAACAAAACUUAAUGCUCCUAAAACAGGCUUAAUUGUGUUUAUACAAUAGAUUUUCUUUUUUCUUUUGAAUUUUGGGUGAAAUGUGACCUGGACAUAUUUUUGUGAGAUUCACCUACUUUCCCUGUUAUUUAAUUCUAGCAUAAUAUAAUCCUAUUUGCCUAAUCAGAAUCCAUCUGUAAAAUGAUUGGCACAUUAUUUGCACAUUUAAACACGAUUCUUUUUUAGGGGUGACGUUUUCGAGCAUUUUCCGAAACUACCUCUCAAACCACUCCCAAAGAAACAGAUCCUGAAGGUUAAAGGAGAACCCGUGCUCCUCCCGGCCAUCAAGCACAGUCUCGGCAGCAGCAUGUCCGAGCGGCAGAGGAGAGCGCAGGACGAGCACAGACUGCGUCUCAGGAGAGCGGUGAACUCUUAACCCUCCUCUGCAGUGCUUCUGUCAUUGUGCCUUCCUGUUUGCUGAUUAGAAGAGACGGGAGGAAUUUAGCGAACGGCUGUUGAUCACGUUUGAUUCCCUAAUGAACUAAAUAAGAAUCUUUCCAGAGAAGCAGCCAAAUGUCAAAGAUGAGACGAGAGCUGAGCUAAGCUGCACGUCCUUCAACAGGAAGUUCCGUAAACUCUGAGAGAGACACAAUAUAUACAACCAAAUCUCUUAGAAAACCUUGAUUUGAUGUGAAUUUCCCUGAAGGUUCCAAAAGGCUGAUUUGAGCUUGACAAUGCAGUCUAAAUUCUGCUUUAACUCUCUUUAAAUAAAUGCACCAGCAACAUUUUAUAACAUGUUAUUAUUUUUGUAGAGUUCUUGUUCCUGGACUCAUGCAGUGACCUGUAAGUGUUCAUUUCUUCACUAAGGCUGAGUAUGUUUUAUCUGUAGUGCACUAGUGUAUUAUGGCCGUUGAGAAGUUUUUAUAGUGCGUCCUUUUGGAUCUCUAACUGAUGACUACAACCCAUUGGAUCAGUGCCCGGGCCUCCAGCAGACACCACAUAGUAUUACUGUGUUUAAGAGCCUUAUUAAGUAAUGGGUUUUAGAUGGCACUAUCUCAUUCAGUUCAAUUCAAUCAGAUGCUUUAGAUGUCUCAAACAGCAAAAGUUCAACACGUUUCUCUAAUUCAGUUUACCCA
Molecule: long non-coding RNA, 1134 nt
Organism: Cyprinus carpio (common carp)
Lineage: Eukaryota; Metazoa; Chordata; Actinopteri; Cypriniformes; Cyprinidae
Exons: 3
Source: RefSeq, a predicted model, not a curated record